RNAcentral lists this ribosomal RNA (583 nucleotides) under Alphaproteobacteria bacterium. RNAcentral describes it as "partial 23S ribosomal RNA". It matches the Rfam family "Bacterial large subunit ribosomal RNA", at positions 1 to 599 of the family's 2925-position model. The record is from RNAcentral. Lineage: Bacteria; Pseudomonadati; Pseudomonadota; Alphaproteobacteria.
GAUCAAAUCAAGCGCGAGAAGGGCGUUUGGUGGAUGCCUUGGCAGUAAGAGGCGAUGAAGGACGUGAUACUCUGCGAUAAGCUUUGGGAAGUCGAGAAUAGACGCUAUACCCAAAGAUCUCCGAAUGGGGCAACCCACUUGAUAUUCUAUUAUUGUUAYYUUCGRRUACUCAAUAAUGGGGUAAACCAAGUAUUAAUUACCUGAAUAUAUAGGGUUUUUAAAGCAAACCCGGGGAACUGAAACAUCUAAGUACCCGGAGGAAAGGAAAUCAAYAGAUACUCCCKUAGUAGYGGCGAGCGAACSGGGACCAGCCGAKCWAUGAANUGUGACUAGAACCAUCUGGAAAGUUGGGCRAUAUGGGUGACAGCCCCGUAUAGGAAGCAUGAWUWGACRUAUUAAGUAGGGCGGRACACGUGAAAUYCUGUCUGAACAUSGGRGGACCACCYUCKAAGGCUAAGUACUCCUUACUGACCGAUAGCGAACCAGUACCGUGAGGGAAAGGUGAAAAGCACCCCGACGAGGGGAGUGAAACAGUUUCUGAAACCGGACGCCUACAAACAGUCGGAGGGGCAUAUGCCCUGAC